AGAGGUAGUAGUUUGUGUAGUUUAAAAGGUUGUGACACCGCCUGGGAGAUAACUAUACAAUCUACUGCCUUGC
This 73-nucleotide microRNA precursor is filed under the name Callorhinchus milii (elephant shark). RNAcentral describes it as "Cmi-Let-7-P2c4_pre stem-loop". Lineage: Eukaryota; Metazoa; Chordata; Chondrichthyes; Chimaeriformes; Callorhinchidae. The record is from RNAcentral.